Molecule: long non-coding RNA, 202 nt
Filed under: Elaeis guineensis (African oil palm)
Lineage: Eukaryota; Viridiplantae; Streptophyta; Magnoliopsida; Arecales; Arecaceae
Description: long non-coding RNA (EGUI_LNC029429)
Source: RNAcentral
UCAUGCAACCUCCUAUCAUAGCGGAUCUGCAACAAUUCAAUGCCCUAGUCCAAUAGAUCCAGGCAUUGACCAAUGUUGUAUAGUGGCUACAAUAGGUGACCGAGAGAUAGCAGCUCCAGGAGCUAAUUCCUCAGGUGACUCCUAGGCACAGCCACCGUUCUCAUCCCAAGAGCCCGAAACCAGCCCCCAGUGAACCCAUCAC